This 523-nucleotide ribosomal RNA is filed under the name uncultured bacterium. Its description in RNAcentral is "bacterial SSU rRNA". It matches the Rfam family "Bacterial small subunit ribosomal RNA", at positions 8 to 524 of the family's 1533-position model. The record is from RNAcentral.
AGAGUUUGAUCAUGGCUCAGAUUGAACGCUGGCGGCAUGCCUUACACAUGCAAGUCGAACGGCAGCAUAGGAGCUUGCUCCUGAUGGCGAGUGGCGAACGGGUGAGUAAUAUAUCGGAACGUGCCCUAGAGUGGGGGAUAACUAGUCGAAAGACUAGCUAAUACCGCAUACGAUCUGCGGAUGAAAGUGGGGGAUCGCAAGACCUCAUGCUCCUGGAGCGGCCGAUAUCUGAUUAGCUAGUUGGUGGGGUAAAAGCCUACCAAGGCAACGAUCAGUAGCUGGUCUGAGAGGACGACCAGCCACACUGGGACUGAGACACGGCCCAGACUCCUACGGGAGGCAGCAGUGGGGAAUUUUGGACAAUGGGGGCAACCCUGAUCCAGCAAUGCCGCGUGAGUGAAGAAGGCCUUCGGGUUGUAAAGCUCUUUUGUCAGGGAAGAAACGGUAGUAGCGAAUAACUACUACUAAUGACGGUACCUGAAGAAUAAGCACCGGCUAACUACGUGCCAGCAGCCGCGGUAAU